CCUACGGGAGGCAGCAGUGAGGAAUAUUGGUCAAUGGGCGAGAGCCUGAACCAGCCAAGUAGCGUGAAGGAUGACUGCCCUAUGGGUUGUAAACUUCUUUUAUAUGGGAAUAAAAUGAUCCACGUGUGGCUUUUUGUAUGUACCCUAUGAAUAAGGAUCGGCUAACUCCGUGCCAGCAGCCGCGGUAAUACGGAGGAUCCGAGCGUUAUCCGGAUUUAUUGGGUUUAAAGGGAGCGUAGGUGGGUUGUUAAGUCAGUUGUGAAAGUUUGCGGCUCAACCGUAAAAUUGCAAUUGAUACUGGCAGUCUUGAGUACAGUAGAGGUAGGCGGAAUGCGUGGUGUAGCGGUGAAAUGCUUAGAUAUCACGAAGAACUCCGAUUGCGAAGGCAGCUUACUAGACUGCAACUGACACUGAGGCUCGAAAGUGUGGGUAUCAAACAGGAUUAGAUACCCCAGUAGUC
RNAcentral lists this ribosomal RNA (460 nucleotides) under uncultured bacterium. Its description in RNAcentral is "partial 16S ribosomal RNA". It matches the Rfam family "Bacterial small subunit ribosomal RNA", at positions 338 to 795 of the family's 1533-position model. The record is from RNAcentral.